This 465-nucleotide ribosomal RNA is filed under the name uncultured bacterium. Its description in RNAcentral is "bacterial SSU rRNA". It matches the Rfam family "Bacterial small subunit ribosomal RNA", at positions 338 to 795 of the family's 1533-position model. The record is from RNAcentral.
CCUACGGGAGGCAGCAGUAGGGAAUCUUCCGCAAUGGACGAAAGUCUGACGGAGCAACGCCGCGUGAGCGAAGAAGGUCUUCGGAUCGUAAAGCUCUGUUGUUAGGGAAGAACAAGUACGGGAGGAAAUGACCGUACCUUGACGGUACCUAACGAGGAAGCCACGGCUAACUACGUGCCAGCAGCCGCGGUAAUACGUAGGUGGCAAGCGUUGUCCGGAAUUAUUGGGCGUAAAGCGCGCGCAGGCGGUCUUUUAAGUCUGAUGUGAAAGCCCACGGCUCAACCGUGGAGGGUCAUUGGAAACUGGGGAACUUGAGUGCAGAAGAGGAGAGCUGAAUUCCACGUGUAGCGGUGUAAUGCGUAGAGGUGUGGAGGAACACCAGUGGCGAAGGCGGCUCUCUGGUCUGUAACUGACGCUGAGGCGCGAAAGCGUGGGGAGCAAACAGGAUUAGAUACCCUGGUAGUC